This 516-nucleotide ribosomal RNA is filed under the name uncultured bacterium. Its description in RNAcentral is "bacterial SSU rRNA". It matches the Rfam family "Bacterial small subunit ribosomal RNA", at positions 380 to 897 of the family's 1533-position model. The record is from RNAcentral.
AGCCUGAUCCAGCCAUGCCGCGUGCAGGAAGACGGCCUUCUGGGUUGUAAACUGCUUUUGCCAGGGGAUAAAAAGUCCCUGCGGGGAAAAUUGAAGGUACCUGGUGAAUAAGCCACGGCUAACUACGUGCCAGCAGCCGCGGUAAUACGUAGGUGGCAAGCGUUGUCCGGAUUUAUUGGGUUUAAAGGGUGCGUAGGUUGUGUUGUAAGUCAGUGGUGAAAUCCGGCAGCUUAACUGUCGAUGUGCCAUUGAUACUGCAGCACUUGAGUACAGACGAGGUAGGCGGAAUUGACGGUGUAGCGGUGAAAUGCUUAGAUAUCGUCAAGAACACCGAUAGCGAAGGCAGCUUACUAGACUGUAACUGACACUGAUGCACGAAAGUGUGGGGAUCAAACAGGAUUAGAUACCCUGGUAGUCCACACUGUAAACGAUGAUUACUCGAUGUUGGCGAUACACAGCCAGCGUCUUAGCGAAAGCGAUAAGUAAUCCACCUGGGGAGUACGCCCGCAAGGGUAG